AGUGAACGCUGGCGGUAGGCCUAACACAUGCAAGUCGAACGGCAGCACAGUAAGUGCUUGCUCUUGCGGGUGGCCGGUGGCGGGCGGGUGACAUAUACAUCGGUAUCUUAUUGUUGGUGAGGGCUAACGUAGGGGGACUUACACUACUACCGCAUACCACCUACGGGUGGAAGCAGGGGAUCUUCGGCCCUUGCGCGAUGGCAUGAGGCGAUGUCGGAUUAGCUAGUUGGCGGGGUAAAGGCCCACCAAGGCGACGAUCCGUAGCUGGUCUGAGAGGAUGAUCAGCCACACUGGAACUGAGACACGGCCCAGACUCCUACGGGAGGCAGCAGUGGGGAAUUUUGGACAAUGGGCGAAAGCCUGAUCCAGCAAUACCGCGUGUGUGAAGAAGGCCUUCGGGUUGUAAAGCCCUUUUGUUGGGAAAGAAAAGCAGGACGCUAAUACACCGCGGGGCUGACGGUACCGAAAGAAUAAGCACCGGCUAACUUCGUG
This 492-nucleotide ribosomal RNA is filed under the name uncultured bacterium. RNAcentral describes it as "partial 16S ribosomal RNA". It matches the Rfam family "Bacterial small subunit ribosomal RNA", at positions 29 to 507 of the family's 1533-position model. The record is from RNAcentral.